Molecule: unclassified non-coding RNA, 278 nt
Filed under: Chaetosphaeria sp.
Lineage: Eukaryota; Fungi; Ascomycota; Sordariomycetes; Chaetosphaeriales; Chaetosphaeriaceae
Description: partial contains 5.8S ribosomal RNA, internal transcribed spacer 2, and large subunit ribosomal RNA
Rfam family: 5.8S ribosomal RNA (bases 1-71)
Source: RNAcentral
GUGAAUCAUCGAAUCUUUGAACGCACAUUGCGCCCGCCAGCAUUCUGGCGGGCAUGCCUGUUCGAGCGUCAUUGCAACCCUCAGGCCCUGCCUGGCGUUGGAGGACUGCACUGCAGCCUCCUAAAGCAAGCGGCGGCGGCGCCCCACAACCGAACGCAGUAAUACAUCUCGUUCUGGGUCUGGGACGUUGUCUUGCCGGAAAACCCCAACUUUUACGUGGUUGACCUCGAAUCAGGUAGGAAUACCCGCUGAACUUAAGCAUAUCAAUAAGCGGAGGA